CCGGGAAUGGCCCUGGAGUGACCCUGAGGUGUCCCCAGAGUGACCCCAGGAAUGACCCCGACGUGUCCCCAAGACUGUCCCCAAUGUGACGCUGAGGUGACCCCAGGACUGUCCCCAAGGUGUCCCUGGGAAUGACCCCAAGGUGACCCCAGGAAUGACCCCGAGGUGUCCCCCCAAUGUCCCCAAGGUGUCCCCAAGGUGUCCCCAAGGUGUCCCCAGGGGUUUCAUACAGGACCGGGUCCCUCCACCCCACAGCUGCCACCCCCUGCAACUGGGGGGACAAUUCUGGGUGUCCCCAACUCGGGGGUGUCCCCAAAUUCCGGGUGUCCCCAAGUCUGGGUGUCCCCAAAUUCCGGGUGUCCCCAACCUUGGGGUGGCCCCUGGACAGGGUGGGGCACCGAGGGUCCGGAAGGGACCAGGACACAGGGCAGGGGGUGGCACUGCUGUCCCCUCCUGUCCCCUCUCCGUCCCCUCCCUGUCCCCUCCUGUCCCCUCUCUGUCCCCUCUCUGUCCC
Molecule: long non-coding RNA, 514 nt
Organism: Poecile atricapillus (Black-capped chickadee)
Lineage: Eukaryota; Metazoa; Chordata; Aves; Passeriformes; Paridae
Exons: 3
Source: RefSeq, a predicted model, not a curated record